GUCCUGCCAGUAGCAUAUGCUUGUCUCAAAGAUUAAGCCAUGCAUGUCUAAGUACAAGCCGCUUGACGGCGAAACCGCGAAUGGCUCAAUAAAUCAGUUAUGGUUCCUUAGAUCCACCCAUCCUACUUGGAUAACUGUGGUAAUUCUAGAGCUAAUACAUGCACUCAAGUCCUGACUCGCGGCAACGCAAGAAAGGAUGCUUUUAUUAGAUCAAAACCAGUCGGGCUGGGGGCAACUCUGGCCCGUACCGUUUGGUGACUCUGGAUAACUUCCCGCUGAUCGCACGGUCUCGCACCGGCGACGCGUCUUUCAAAUGUCUGCCUUAUCAACUGUCGAUGGUAGGUUACGCGCCUACCAUGGUUGCAACGGGUAACGGGGAAUCGGGGUUCGAUUCCGGAGAGGGAGCCUGAGAAACGGCUACCACAUCCAAGGAAGGCAGCAGGCGCGCAAAUUACCCACUCCCGGCACGGGGAGGUAGUGACGAAAAAUAACGAUACGGGACUCUUCCGAGGCCCCGUGAUUGGAAUGAGUACACUUUAAAUCCUUUAACGAGGACCCAUUGGAGGGCAAGUCUG
This is a ribosomal RNA of 575 nucleotides. It matches the Rfam family "Eukaryotic small subunit ribosomal RNA", at positions 11 to 563 of the family's 1831-position model.